RNAcentral lists this ribosomal RNA (270 nucleotides) under Pseudomonas aeruginosa. RNAcentral's name for it is "partial 16S ribosomal RNA". It matches the Rfam family "Bacterial small subunit ribosomal RNA", at positions 547 to 799 of the family's 1533-position model. Lineage: Bacteria; Pseudomonadati; Pseudomonadota; Gammaproteobacteria; Pseudomonadales; Pseudomonadaceae. The record is from RNAcentral.
CCAGUACUCCGUUCUCGGAAUUACUGGGCGUAAAGCGCGCGUAGGUGGUUCAGCAAGUUGGAUGUGAAAUCCCCGGGCUCAACCUGGGAACUGCAUCCAAAACUACUGAGCUAGAGUACGGUAGAGGGUGGUGGAAUUUCCUGUGUAGCGGUGAAAUGCGUAGAUAUAGGAAGGAACACCAGUGGCGAAGGCGACCACCUGGACUGAUACUGACACUGAGGUGCGAAAGCGUGGGGAGCAAACAGGAUUAGAUACCCCCUGUAGUCCCAG